Molecule: ribosomal RNA, 460 nt
Filed under: uncultured bacterium
Lineage: Bacteria
Description: partial 16S ribosomal RNA
Rfam family: Bacterial small subunit ribosomal RNA
Source: RNAcentral
CCUACGGGGGGCAGCAGUGAGGAAUAUUGGUCAAUGGACGAGAGUCUGAACCAGCCAAGUAGCGUGAAGGAUGACUGCCCUAUGGGUUGUAAACUUCUUUUAUAUGGGAAUAAAAUGUUCCACGUGUGGGAUUUUGUAUGUACCAUAUGAAUAAGGAUCGGCUAACUCCGUGCCAGCAGCCGCGGUAAUACGGAGGAUCCGAGCGUUAUCCGGAUUUAUUGGGUUUAAAGGGAGCGUAGGUGGAUUGUUAAGUCAGUUGUGAAAGUUUGCGGCUCAACCGUAAAAUGGCAGUUGAAACUGGCAGUCUUGAGUACAGUAGAGGUGGGCGGAAUGCGUGGUGUAGCGGUGAAAUGCUUAGAUAUCACGAAGAACUCCGAUUGCGAAGGCAGUUCACUGGACUGCAACUGACACUGAGGCUCGAAAGUGUGGGUAUCAAACAGGAUUAGAUACCCGAGUAGUC